UACGGAGGGUGCGAGCGUUGUCCGGAAUCAUUGGGCGUAAAGGGCGCGUAGGUGGCGGGACAAGCGUGCGGUGAAAGCCUGGGGCUCAACCCCGGGUCGGCCGUGCGAACUGUUUUGCUUGAGCACUGUAGAGGCAAGCGGAAUUCCGGGUGUAGCGGUGGAAUGCGUAGAGAUCCGGAAGAACACCGGAGGCGAAGGCGGCUUGCUGGGCUUGGUCUGACGCUGAGGCGCGAAAGCGUGGGGAGCGAACAGG
This 253-nucleotide ribosomal RNA is filed under the name uncultured bacterium. RNAcentral's name for it is "partial 16S ribosomal RNA". It matches the Rfam family "Bacterial small subunit ribosomal RNA", at positions 524 to 776 of the family's 1533-position model. The record is from RNAcentral.